This 495-nucleotide ribosomal RNA is filed under the name uncultured bacterium. Its description in RNAcentral is "partial 16S ribosomal RNA". It matches the Rfam family "Bacterial small subunit ribosomal RNA", at positions 28 to 507 of the family's 1533-position model. The record is from RNAcentral.
GAUGAACGCUGGCGGCGUGCCUAAUACAUGCAAGUAGAACGCUGAAGGAGGAGCUUGCUCUUCUGGAUGAGUUGCGAACGGGUGAGUAACGCGUAGGUAACCUGCCUGGUAGCGGGGGAUAACUAUUGGAAACGAUAGCUAAUACCGCAUGACAACAGUUAUUGCAUGAUAACUGUUUAAAAGGGGCAACUGCUCCACUACCAGAUGGACCUGCGUUGUAUUAGCUAGUUGGUGAGGUAACGGCUCACCAAGGCGACGAUACAUAGCCGACCUGAGAGGGUGAUCGGCCACACUGGGACGGAGACACGGCCCAGACGCCUACGGGAGGCAGCAGUAGGGAAUCUUCGGCAAUGGACGGAAGUCUGACCGAGCAACGCCGCGUGAGUGAAGAAGGGUUUCGGAUCGUAAAGCUCUGUUGUAAGAGAAGAACGAGUGUGAGAGUGGAAAGUUCACACUGUGACGGUAUCUUACCAGAAAGGGACGGCUAACUACGUG